Molecule: non-coding RNA, 92 nt
Organism: Stygiomarasmius scandens
Lineage: Eukaryota; Fungi; Basidiomycota; Agaricomycetes; Agaricales; Campanellaceae
Source: the annotation of a GenBank genome assembly
GGCCGCCUGGCGAAAUGGCAUCGCGUCUGACUACGAUUUAGGUGUUAUAAUUCGGGAUCAGGAGAUUGCAGGUUCGACCCCUGCGGUGGUCA